UUAUCAGAAGUGCAGUAAUGGUUUAGCUGCACUGUGUGAAUAUCAACAUUUGAAAGGCUUAUGUCGCUCAAUGGUUCAAAAAAAAAUGAUUACAAAAUUUGAAGAGACUGGAGAGUUGGGUGUGCUGGCAGGAAGAGAAUGGAAACGGAUUCCAAACGAAAGUAUGGAAGAAGUCGCUGCUGCCGUGGUUAACAGAGCGUCCUGUUCCCAACAUUCCUCAAGUGCCCAAGCAGUGAUUUGUGUAUUCCUUGGUUAUGGUAUGAAAGAUUCUGCACGUUAUUUUACAGUGGUAUCCAUACAAAAUCCACAUGGUGCAAAGGCUACAUUUUCAAGAUCCAC
RNAcentral lists this long non-coding RNA (339 nucleotides) under Androctonus crassicauda. The record is from RNAcentral. Lineage: Eukaryota; Metazoa; Arthropoda; Arachnida; Scorpiones; Buthidae.